This 460-nucleotide ribosomal RNA is filed under the name uncultured bacterium. RNAcentral's name for it is "partial 16S ribosomal RNA". It matches the Rfam family "Bacterial small subunit ribosomal RNA", at positions 338 to 795 of the family's 1533-position model. The record is from RNAcentral.
CCUACGGGAGGCAGCAGUGAGGAAUAUUGGUCAAUGGGCGCGAGCCUGAACCAGCCAAGUCGCGUGAGCGAAGACGGUCCUAUGGAUUGUAAACCUCUUUUGUCGGGGAGCAAAAGACGCCACGCGUGGCGUUCCGCGAGUACCCGAAGAAAAAGCAUCGGCUAACUACGUGCCAGCAGCCGCGGUAAUACGGAGGAUUCAAGCGUUAUGCGGAGUUAUUGGGUUUAAAGGGUGCGUAGGCGGGCGGAUAAGUUAGAGGUGAAAUCCCGAGGCUCAACUUCGGAAUUGCCUCUGAUACUGUUCGGCUAGAGAGUAGUUGCGGUAGGCGGAAUGUAUGGUGUAGCGGUGAAAUGCUUAGAGAUCAGACAGAACACCGAUUGCGAAGGCAGCAUACCGGCGCCCGACUGACGCUGAAGCACGAAAGCGUGGGUAUCGAACAGGAUUAGAUACCCGUGUAGUC